CUUUUUUUCUUAGAAUUCCAGGUUUACAUCUCACAAUUCAGACUUUUUUUUUCCCCUCAGAAUUCUGGGUUUACAUCUCACAAUUCAGACUUUUUUUUCCCCUCAGAAUUCUGGGUUUACAUCUCACAAUUCAGACUUUUUUUCCCCUCAGAAUUCUGGGUUUACAUCUCACAAUUCAGACUUUUUUUUCCCCUCAGAAUUCUGGGUUUACAUCUCACAAUUCUGACUUUUUUUUUCUUCUCAGAAUUC
Molecule: long non-coding RNA, 249 nt
Organism: Labeo rohita (rohu)
Lineage: Eukaryota; Metazoa; Chordata; Actinopteri; Cypriniformes; Cyprinidae
Exons: 3
Source: RefSeq, a predicted model, not a curated record